AAAACACUAACGAACGCUGGCGGCAGGCUUAACACAUGCAAGUCGAACGCCCCGCAAGGGGAGUGGCAGACGGGUGAGUAACGCGUGGGAAUCUACCCAGAUCUACGGAACAACAGAGGGAAACUUCUGCUAAUACCGUAUACGCCCUACGGGGGAAAGAUUUAUCGGAUUUGGAUGAGCCCGCGUAAGAUUAGCUAGUUGGUGAGGUAAUGGCUCACCAAGGCGACGAUCUUUAGCUGGUCUGAGAGGAUGAUCAGCCACACUGGGACUGAGACACGGCCCAG
Molecule: ribosomal RNA, 284 nt
Filed under: uncultured bacterium
Lineage: Bacteria
Description: partial 16S ribosomal RNA
Rfam family: Bacterial small subunit ribosomal RNA
Source: RNAcentral